Long non-coding RNA from Ictalurus punctatus (channel catfish), 2005 nucleotides. The record is from Ensembl. NCBI's taxonomy places the organism in Eukaryota, Metazoa, Chordata, Actinopteri, Siluriformes, Ictaluridae.
CCUGACUCUCCUCAACCCAAUCAUCCAACAUUCCAUCAUUAGUUUUUUUUCCCCCUCACUUUCUUUUUUUCUGUCUUCCACCUAAACAUUCUCCACUCCUUCAGCUGAGUCUGUCUAAGCUCUACAUAUGCUUGUUCUGGGAUUGUUGAUCAUGAAAACCUUUGCACUCAAACCUUUGGAAGUACUUGGCUGUCUUAAGAUUUUUGUUUUCUGCAUCUGCUGGUCAUGAGAGAAGACCAAUAUCAGAAAGUAUAAGCAAAUGGGGUCAUUUAGAGUACACCCGAAAUAACUAAAUUCAACAGAGGAUGUGAUGCAAUAAGAUGCUAGUGCAAAGGACAGAAAACUGGGACAGGGAAAUGAAGCUGUGAAAUAUGCAGGAGGUAAAGAAAAAGCCAGAUGUGGUAACUGCCCAGGGGUUUGUUGUGGUCUCGUAGUCUGCUUGUGUCAUUGUCACAUUCUGUCUUCAUUGGGUGUUGUCUGAGUUUGUGGCGGCCAUUGUGUCAGUCAAGCUGAAAAAGUCGUAUCCCAGACAAAGCCAAAUACUGAACUAAAUGCAGACUGAAAAUCCAAUCAAAAUGCUUCAUAUUUGUGCACUUAACUUCUGUCUGGACAGCUAUGACAAAGCACAUAAACGUGCUCAAAUUUGCACAUUAUAUGCAGUUUAGUGGUUCUCCCAGACCCACACAGUGGUCACAUAUAAAUGUGCUAUCAUUCUCCAGUGCCAGCAGAAAGUGUAAAAGUGGUUUGAGUGCAACACGUAUAACAGUUGCAUUGUUUUUCCAACACGCCACAUUUCAAUUAACCCGGUGCUUCGUUUACAAAUUUAGACAUGGCUUGAGGCCAUUUCUGGUUUUUUGGAGAAUUCAAAAUGAGUUGUCUUUUUUUCUUCUGAACAGAUCCAUGUAUUCUCCCUUUUUCUGUGAAAGUCAUGCAAUCAUCUCAGUGAAGGUGUCUCCAUGGUGACAAUACAAUGUGUGGAUUUGCCUCAAACUAAAACAAUUACAACAUACACCUCUGUGAGAGGUAAUGUUAGUUGAUAUUUUCAGUGCUGUAGGAUAGGAAUUCAUGUUUCAGGCCUAGUUAGAGUAGCAGCACUCUGUAAAGUGAGAAUAAUUGGAUUUUAAAAGUCAUUUACUCUUAAAUACUCAUCAAUUUCAAUUCAGCGGUUUAAUUUCAGAAGCACUUUCCAUAUGAAUUUCUGUAGCAUCUUGGGAACAAAGCAACUCUGGAAUCUCUAAUUUAGUACUAGAGAUUGAUAUCUGAUCUGGUGCUAAAACACUCACAAACACUUGUAAACACUUGUAUCCUGUACUACAGAGUAUUACUUGUUAGCUUUUUUUGUUUGUUUGUUUGUUUGUUUGUUUUUUUAUAACAGUGUGAUGUAGGCUGGUACACAGUGUCCGCUGUUUACUUUUGUCUAGCAGACCCAGAUGUUUAAAUGUCACUGGUGGAUGGAUGCAGGUAAAUCAAUAGAAGUUCCAGCUUAUUGAGAGAUACUAUAAAUGACCCCUUACAUCUUGAGGUAUGUAAUUAGCUAUAAAGCACUUUCAGUUCAGUGGAUUUUAGUUUCAUCCCAUGCUCUUUCCUCUCUAGUGCCAAAAUAUAAAGUGUUUAUGCUUGUAGCAUAUCACAUAAACCACAAAGAACAUCAGCUGCAUAGAUGUAGAAUGUAACGAGGAAUGUCCUAUUUCUGUGGCAUACCAAAGGUUCCCUGGUCUUAACCUUGCAUAACGAUCAAGGGAAAUUUGGUAUUAAAUAAAAGAGAAGGGAAAUUGUAGUUUUAUUUUACUUAUCAGACCACUUGAAGGAGAAUGUGUUUAUGUGGUCAGGUUUAUAGAAUACUUUUCUCAAUGUUACAUACCAUUUGAGAUGUUGAUUGUGCGAGGCUUGCUUUGUGUGCUGUCUGGAGUACGCUUGUACAGAAAAAGCACACAAUUUUGAACAGCUGUAUGAAUGUGUUGAUUAAUUGGAGUAUUUACAUUUUAUUUAUCUCGUUAAGGAAGGC